RNAcentral lists this ribosomal RNA (492 nucleotides) under uncultured bacterium. RNAcentral describes it as "partial 16S ribosomal RNA". It matches the Rfam family "Bacterial small subunit ribosomal RNA", at positions 28 to 507 of the family's 1533-position model. The record is from RNAcentral.
GAUGAACGCUAGCUACAGGCUUAACACAUGCAAGUCGAGGGGAAACGGCAUCGAAAGCUUGCUUUUGAUGGGCGUCGACCGGCGCACGGGUGAGUAACGCGUAUCCAACCUGCCCAUCACUUGGGAAUAACCUUGCGAAAGUAAGACUAAUGCCCAAUGACAUCCCACGAAGGCAUCCGAAUGGGAUUAAAGAUUUAUCGGUGAUGGAUGGGGAUGCGUCUGAUUAGCUUGUUGGCGGGGUGACGGCCCACCAAGGCAACGAUCAGUAGGGGUUCUGAGAGGAAGGUCCCCUACAUUGGAACUGAGACACGGUCCAAACUCCUACGGGAGGCAGCAGUGAGGAAUAUUGGUCAAUGGGCGAGAGCCUGAACCAGCCAAGUAGCGUGCAGGAUGACGGCCCUAUGGGUUGUAAACUGCUUUUAUAAGGGAAUAAAGUGGGUCACGUGUGACUUUUUGCAUGUACCUUAUGAAUAAGGACCGGCUAAUUCCGUG